ACAGGAAGAGCCAAGAUUGUGCAGAUCUUCCCACAAACAUCAUCGAGAGGAUUGAUCCAUAGCACAGGUCCUCUGGCAGAGCCAGAGCCGGGCUCAAUAACCAGUCAGAAAUGAAUGAAUUCAGAUGAAACAAACGGCAACAUGAGCCUUUCUCUCCCGCCUGCCAGUCUGCGCAGCCCUGACCCUUCUGCUUACUACCGUUUUUUAAGGGCAGGGAAAUAAUCUGAUUGUUAUCAUUCCUGGACCUCUGUUAGAUUUGUCUCAUAUCCAUUGUUGGGGGAAUUCUCAUAUACCUGAAGCAAGACAAGCAACAUGGACGCUGCCUUUCACGUGCAGGAAUGCUAAUAUGCAAAUAUUGUGAAUUAUAACCCAUGGUUUCAUAUUUUAAAUGUUAAACUUUAAUGCAAUAUUCAAUUAAUUAAAAAUCCCAUUUGUGAUUGCGUGCAUGCAAUAACAAUUAUGUUAUGCUUAGGCAGUGACCGCAGUGCAAGGCAGGUGACUCUUUAAUUAAAGGGAUAAUAUGCUUCCAAAUCUUCAAAGAUCUCAGGUCUGCUUGUGAAAGGAAACCAUGCAAUCAGCCCAAGACUGCCUUGGGCACUGGAAAGAUGACGUGAACUCCACUCCUUCCCUAUCCUGGCCUAUCUCAUUGGUUUCUUCUUUCAUACUCCUUAGUUCAGAGCAGGCAUUCACAUUGCAUAUAUACAGUACUCUCAGCACUUAAUAUACU
Xenopus laevis (African clawed frog) is the source of this 727-nucleotide long non-coding RNA. RefSeq lists it as uncharacterized. The record is from RefSeq and is a predicted model, not a curated record. NCBI's taxonomy places the organism in Eukaryota, Metazoa, Chordata, Amphibia, Anura, Pipidae. The transcript has 3 exons.